UACGAAGGGGGCUAGCGUUGCUCGGAAUUACUGGGCGUAAAGCGCACGUAGGCGGAUUGUUAAGUCGGGGGUGAAAUCCUGGAGCUCAACUCCAGAACUGCCUUUGAUACUGGCGAUCUUGAGUCCGGGAGAGGUGAGUGGAACUGCGAGUGUAGAGGUGAAAUUCGUAGAUAUUCGCAAGAACACCAGUGGCGAAGGCGGCUCACUGGCCCGGUACUGACGCUGAGGUGCGAAAGCGUGGGGAGCAAACAGG
RNAcentral lists this ribosomal RNA (253 nucleotides) under uncultured bacterium. Its description in RNAcentral is "partial 16S ribosomal RNA". It matches the Rfam family "Bacterial small subunit ribosomal RNA", at positions 524 to 776 of the family's 1533-position model. The record is from RNAcentral.